Non-coding RNA from Misgurnus anguillicaudatus (oriental weatherfish), 2265 nucleotides. The record is from RefSeq and is a predicted model, not a curated record. Lineage: Eukaryota; Metazoa; Chordata; Actinopteri; Cypriniformes; Cobitidae.
ACUGUUGCUUUUAUUGGUUAUUUUUUGUGGUUUAAUUGUCAGAAAGUCAAUGUAGUAACUGGGAACUAAUGUUCUUUAGAUGUUUCCUAGAGGGAACGUUUUUGAGUGUUGCACGCUGGUAAAGACGGCUGUCAAUCUUUGUAUAUGCUGCUGUUAACGUUCUGUAAUGUGUACAUAUAAUACAAACCAUUACAUUACAUUACAUUGAUAUGAGCAGCAUACACAGAUGUUGGACCAUCAAUAAAUGUCUCAUUCUAAAGACUUUCCUCCUCUCCUGAUUCUCUGACCGGAAUCUGGUCCAUAUUUGGCCGCCUCAAUCAGCUGUUAUUAAAAUGUAGUGAGAUACAGCAUCAUUUCAUCGUCUAUAUGGUGGGACAACCUGCUAGACAGGUUGAAGACAUCUGUACCUACCUCAAAGAAGGCAUGGAGAGACACAUUAAAGAGUAUGUGAAUUGUGAAAUUGGUGAGUUGGGGAUUGCACAGACAAUGGAAGUUUGGCAAAAGCUACUUGGUGUCACACAUUGGUGUGAAAUUGUUUUUUGGACUUUAACACUUACACUGAACUACCUGAAAAACCUCAAGUGCACCUUUGACCUUUCAAAAAAUCCUAAUGGAACUGGACUUGAUACAACCAAGCAAUCACUGAAAGAUGCUUCAGUGAAUACCUGACAGACACGCUGACAUCCCCCUCAAAGUGGGUACAUUUUUUGUACAUUUAUAAGUGACGUUUUUAACAUUAAAGGAAUAUUGCACUUUCAUUAAACAAAAAUCCUGAUAAUUUACUGUCUGUCAUCCAAGAUGUUUGUCUUUUUUUGUUCAGUCGAGAAGAAAUUAAGUUUUUUGAGAAAAACAUUCCAGGAUUUUUCUUAAUUUAAUAGACCUUAUUGGACCUUAACAGUUUAGUUUCAAUGCAGUUUAAAAUUGCAGUUUCAAAGCAGCUUUAAAGGGCUCUAAACGAUCCCAACCGAGGCAUAAGGGUUUUAUCUAUCCAAAAGAUUAUCAUUUUUGGCAAGAAAACUUUUAAAACACAACUUCUUGGCUUGCAUUAUCCAUGUGAUACACAGUGCGACAUUGCGUACUAUGUAAUAACAUUGAAUGGUUACACAUCACAAAUGUGAAACGCACAUUUGUGGAACAUUUUAAAUAAUAAAUGGACCCAAAGACAGUAAUUAGUAUUAUUAGACAUACAACAACAUCUGAACGCUUCUCUUUCUCAUCGCUUGUAAACACUGGAGCGGUAGUUUCAGUUAUGUCAUGCUAGUGUGUCACACAGCUAGUGCAAAACGUUGUGAUUUAAAAGUCCUCUUUUAUUUUUAUUUUUGAAAAUGACAAUCGUUUAGCUAGAUAAGACCCUAGUGCCUUAUUUGGGAUAAUUUAGAGCCCUUUUAAAUCUGCAUUGAAACUGUAAACUUGAGGUCGAAUAAAGUCUUAAAUUGAGAAAAAUCCUGGAAUGUUUUACUCAAACUUUAUUUCUUCUUGACUGAACAAAGUAAAACAUAAACAUAUGGGUUUGGAAAAUUAUCGGGAUUUUUGUUUUAUUAAAUUGGAUAUUCCUUUAACAAUUUUGAAAGUUGAAAAGUUUUUUAAAAAUGUAAUUGAUGUAUAUCUAACAUGUAAUUAAAGAUGCAUGAAAAUUGUUAAUGGCACACAGCCACUCAAAACACUAAGCAAUGUGCCAUUUUUUACAUUCUAAAUUAUUAUUACAACAUGUCACAGAUUUCUGAAAAUGUUAAAGUAAUGUUGUUGUCCCUGAUUUAUGUCUACCUCGAGUUUUACAGGGUUUUUUGUAUUUCUGCAGCCUGUUAAAAUGUUUGCUCUUAUUUGUGGAAUGAGGUUGAUUGUGGCUGAAAUGUCUGAAACACACGUAUUUAUUUAUUUUUGCACUCAAUACGAGGUAAGCCAUGGCUGUCAUGCUAGUUGUUAGCUGCUCUUUUUUUGCUGCCUUAUGAGUAAUGCCUUGAAGUAUUAAAUAAAUUGAUAAAAUGUAAAACCAAGUGGUCUGGCUAUUCUUUUUUUUUUGUGUUUUUUUAUUAUAGCAUAUUGUGAUUUAGGAGGGUGAAUGGGGGAGGAAUAUAUAAAUGUAUAAAUGGUUUAUUAGUAAGAUACCUAAAUGUAAUGCAUUUUAAGUGAAUUGGGUUUAUUAAUAAAGAAUACAUAAUCCAUUUUUUAAUGCAUUUAAAACACAUUGGAUUAAGUAAAACUAUUACAUAAAUUUUAUUGGUUUCAUUUACAUAUAUCUAAAAAGUAUAUAUCAUAUAAAGUUUA